Molecule: non-coding RNA, 225 nt
Filed under: Alkalihalobacillus alcalophilus
Lineage: Bacteria; Bacillati; Bacillota; Bacilli; Caryophanales; Bacillaceae
Description: Bacillus alcalophilus T-box sequence
Rfam family: T-box leader
About the family: Uncharged tRNA acts as the effector for transcription antitermination of genes in the T-box leader family.
Source: RNAcentral
AAAAAAGCUUUGAGUAGGAAGAGUACAUUCAGAACCUUUUAGAGAGAAGAAUCCUUGGCUGUAAGAUUCUUUAAGCUGUAUGAAUGGAAGGUCGCCUAUGAGCCACUUAACUGAAAGACAGUAGGUUAAGUCGGGAAAACCCGUUAACAUGUUGAGUGUACACGAAUGCUCUUUUAUUUGUGUAAACAAAGGUGGUACCGCGAAUCAACUCUCUUCGUCCUUUGG